AACGCGUAGAUAGCUGCCUAGUAGUGGGGGAUAGCCAGUGGAAACGCUGAUUAAUACCGCAUACGCUCUACGGGGGAAAGGGGGCUUCGGCUCUCGCUAUUAGAUGUGUCUGCGUGGGAUUAGCUAGUUGGUGAGGUAAUGGCUCACCAAGGCGACGAUCUCUAGCUGGUCUGAGAGGAUGAUCAGCCACACUGGAACUGAGACACGGUCCAG
This 213-nucleotide ribosomal RNA is filed under the name uncultured bacterium. RNAcentral describes it as "partial 16S ribosomal RNA". It matches the Rfam family "Bacterial small subunit ribosomal RNA", at positions 112 to 334 of the family's 1533-position model. The record is from RNAcentral.